GAUAGGCCGAGCCCGGCGUGCAAAGCUGUGUACAACAUGAAUGUUUUGUUCGUUCGGCUCGCGUUAUCU
Non-coding RNA from Branchiostoma belcheri (Belcher's lancelet), 69 nucleotides. The record is from Rfam. NCBI's taxonomy places the organism in Eukaryota, Metazoa, Chordata, Leptocardii, Amphioxiformes, Branchiostomatidae.